UCGGUUAGUGUGAGAUUUAGUGAAAGAAAACCACACAUAGAGAAAAGGAAGAGGAAGGUUCUGCGUCAUCGUCUUCCUUUCCUCUCCUCGUUUUCCUUUCCGCUCUUCGUUUUCUAUUUGUUUCCUAGAAUUUCUCGAAUUCUCUUAUCAUUUUCUGUAUAGAAUUUUUCCAGCCAUUUUCUUCCAAUUGAUCCCUUUUAGGGAUUCAAUUUCCCCAUUUGGAUUUGCCCUUCUGUCGCUUAUAUUGCUUCUUGUGAGAAGAGAGAGAACUCUUUGCAAGAAGCUAGGGAAAUGAAUUUGUAUACAUUAUUUGUUAAUAUGAUUCUGCUAAAUAUUAAUUUAAUGCAAUUGUUUGCUUUGUAUUUUUGGCCUUUGUAAUUAUAAUGUUUGAUGGUUAUUUUGUGGUUCGAUUAAAGCAUUGGUCCAUCUCAUUUUCCAUGGUGAAGAAAUCUGCAAAAUACUCUGUGGUACUCUCUCUUUCUCUCAUGUGUGUAUGAAUUCAGUGCUGAAGUACGUGUGCAGAUGGAUGCCUUCACUAACUUAGCUUUCAUGGGGAACCCAUCAACGGUUUGCUUACUGGAGGAAGACAAAGACGACCAGUGGUUGCUGUUGGUUGAUUAAGGUCUAAACUGUCAUUUCCUUAUUUGUAGCAAGCUGUUAGUUUGAGUAAUUAGAGUUGUUAAUGAUCAAGGGCUGAGAUUAGAUCAAUUUAUAGUAGGCUCAAAUGUGAGCAAGUGUCAAUAUUUCAUAGGGUCUUGUAAUGAAUGGUUGGAUGAGCUUAUAGGCUCUCCUAAAUUCUCUCUCUCUAACGGUUAUGUAAAUGCUGGUGUGAUGAAAUGAGCACACGCAGAAGAGCAUUCUAGCUCUCUCUAAAAUUCUGAGUACUCUCUUUCUAUCUCUUC
RNAcentral lists this long non-coding RNA (902 nucleotides) under Malus domestica (apple). RNAcentral describes it as "long non-coding RNA (MDOM_LNC017339)". The record is from RNAcentral. Lineage: Eukaryota; Viridiplantae; Streptophyta; Magnoliopsida; Rosales; Rosaceae.